RNAcentral lists this ribosomal RNA (793 nucleotides) under uncultured archaeon. Its description in RNAcentral is "bacterial SSU rRNA". It matches the Rfam family "Archaeal small subunit ribosomal RNA", at positions 85 to 878 of the family's 1478-position model. The record is from RNAcentral.
ACUGCUCAGUAACACGUGGACAACCUACCCUUAGGUCUGGAAUAAACCUGGGAAACUGGGUAUAAUACCGGAUAGGUCUCGACUGCUGGAAUGCAUCGAGGCCCAAAGCUCCGGCGCCUAAGGAUGGGUCUGCGGCCUAUCAGGGUAGUAGUGGGUGUAAUGUACCUACUAGCCUACGACGGGUACGGGUCGUGAGAGCGAGAGCCCGGAGAUGGAUUCUGAGACACGAAUCCAGGCCCUACGGGGUGCAGCAGGCGCGAAAACUUUACAAUGCUGGAAACAGCGAUAGGGGGACUUUGAGUGCCAAGAUACAAUCUUGGCUGUCGUCGUGCCUAAAAAGCACGGCAUAGCAAGGGCCGGGCAAGACCGGUGCCAGCCGCCGCGGUAACACCGGCGGCUCGAGUGGUAACCGCUAUUAUUGGGUCUAAAGGGUCUGUAGCCGGCUGAAAAAGUCUCUUGGGAAAUCCGGUAGCUUAACUAUCGGGCUUUCAGGAGAUACUCUUCGGCUCGAGACCGGGAGAGGUGAGAGGUACUUCAUGGGUAGGGGUGAAAUCUUGUAAUCCUUGAAGGACCACCAGUGGCGAAGGCGUCUCACCAGAACGGUCCUGACGGCAAGGGACGAAAGCUAGGGGCACGAACCGGAUUAGAUACCCGGGUAGUCCUAGCCGUAAACGAUACUCGCUAGGUGUCAGCCACGGUGCGACCGUGGUUGGUGCCGUAGGGAAGCCGUGAAGCGAGCCACCUGGGAAGUACGGCCGCAAGGCUGAAACUUAAAGGAAUUGGCGGGGGAGCA